RNAcentral lists this long non-coding RNA (683 nucleotides) under Equus caballus (horse). RNAcentral describes it as "lncRNA (ENSECAG00000038543.3)". Lineage: Eukaryota; Metazoa; Chordata; Mammalia; Perissodactyla; Equidae. The record is from RNAcentral.
CUCCGUGCUUACCGGGGCCUCCCCGGCCAGCCCUCGUGGGAAUAUUGGAACAGACCAGUUGGGGAGGCGGAUGUCAGCACAAGCAGGACCACACAGGGUGACUAGUGCUGUCCCACAGGGAGCCCUGGGCCUGCCCAGCUGGUCUGAGCCCAGCCCUGCAGCGAUGGCUCCCCAGGCCCGGGACCAGGACUCUGCAGUCAGACCGGACCUGAGUCCAGCGCCUCCCGCUCUCUGUGACCCCGGUGAAGAGCACGCGCUCUGUCGCAGCACUGUUGCAGGGCCCAGCAGGAGGCCGGCCUCGGUUCCCCCGGAGUGGGGAGCCGUGGACACGGCUAAGGGGAUCAGCUUUGAGCUGGGGGGAGAGGAGCCCUCGGGGGCAGCAACGGUCAGGAGGGGAACAGCCCCUUGAACUGACUCGCAAGGGGCAGGGGUCUGCUGGUGGUCAUGUGGAGAACAACAGAUUCUGGACAUGCUGGCCGCUCACUGUCCUCCAGUGCUGGAGUCCUGGGCUCUGCAGGUCAGGAGCUGACAAAAGCUGGAUCCAAAUCUGGAAGGUGCCUUCAAGGGCGUGACACCUAACUGGCUGCUAUCCCUGCACCUCCCACGACAGCCUCAUGCUCCGCCGCCCCCGCGAGGAAUUUUAUGGAUGCAAAGAAGGUGGAGACAUGAAAUAAACACUUGGG